GCAUUAGAAACCCUGUAUUAUGUUCUCAAA
This 30-nucleotide non-coding RNA is filed under the name Rattus norvegicus (Norway rat). Lineage: Eukaryota; Metazoa; Chordata; Mammalia; Rodentia; Muridae. The record is from RNAcentral.